RNAcentral lists this RNase P RNA (339 nucleotides) under pig gut metagenome. Its description in RNAcentral is "Bacterial RNase P class B". It matches the Rfam family "Bacterial RNase P class B". Rfam says of the family: Ribonuclease P (RNase P) is a ubiquitous endoribonuclease, found in archaea, bacteria and eukarya as well as chloroplasts and mitochondria. The record is from RNAcentral.
UCUGGGUAAACGCUGUGAACUUGUUCAUAGAGGAAAGUCCACGCUUGCACUAUCUGGGAUGAUAGUAGUGUUUGUGCUUAGGAAAAAAAUAACCUAAGGAAGUUUAUACUUACGGCGUUUUUUAUCUUCUAAGGAGUUAUCUAUGAAGAUAGAAGCAUAAAGUGCCACAGUGACGAAGUUUAUAGAAAUAUAAAAGUGAAACGAGGUAAACCCCACAAGCAAGAAACUCAAAUUUUGGUAGAGGAACUAGUUAGAGAGAAAAAAGAAUUAAUAACUGGAUAGAGAAAUCUAUAGAUAAAUGUUUACCGCCUACUUGUAGGUACAGAACGUGGCUUAUAA